UACGUAGGGUGCAAGCGUUGUCCGGAUUUAUUGGGCGUAAAGAGCUCGUAGGCGGUCUGUCGCGUCGGAUGUGAAAACCCAGGGCUCAACCCUGGGCCUGCAUUCGAUACGGGCAGACUAGAGUGUGGCAGGGGAGACUGGAAUUCCUGGUGUAGCGGUGAAAUGCGCAGAUAUCAGGAGGAACACCGGUGGCGAAGGCGGGUCUCUGGGCCGUAACUGACGCUGAGGAGCGAAAGCGUGGGGAGCGAACAGG
Molecule: ribosomal RNA, 253 nt
Filed under: uncultured bacterium
Lineage: Bacteria
Description: partial 16S ribosomal RNA
Rfam family: Bacterial small subunit ribosomal RNA
Source: RNAcentral